AAACACUUCCUGUCUCUCUUCAAAAUUUCGGCCAUAACUCCCCCCUCUUGUUCUUCAUCUUUAAAAAAUCUCCGAGGAUUCUAAGGGUUCUCAAGAAGAUCAAAAGGGGUUUGCAAGUGUUAGGGGUCAUCAAAGGAGCUUUUUACACAAGACUUUGGAGUAUUAUCCUUCUUCUUUCUUCAUCUAAAGAACUCAUCCCUAGCAUUGUGCUAGUAGUGCUUUAUGGCAUUUUGUGACAACUCGACCUUAGGUACAUUAUGGAGCUUGCACAAGGAGGAGCUGGUCGUUGUGGGAUACGGAUCAUGAACUUAUUCUGAACUUAUAACUAUUUUGAGAUUACAUACUAUGCUUCCGCUAUUUAAACGAUGUUUGGUUUUGGAACAUCAAUCAUGUCAUGAUGAUUUACAUUGAUUACUUUUAUUAUUAAUUACUAUGUUU
Molecule: long non-coding RNA, 438 nt
Filed under: Helianthus annuus (common sunflower)
Lineage: Eukaryota; Viridiplantae; Streptophyta; Magnoliopsida; Asterales; Asteraceae
Description: hypothetical non coding rna
Source: RNAcentral